This 197-nucleotide ribosomal RNA is filed under the name uncultured bacterium. Its description in RNAcentral is "partial 16S ribosomal RNA". It matches the Rfam family "Bacterial small subunit ribosomal RNA", at positions 1303 to 1500 of the family's 1533-position model. The record is from RNAcentral.
GGCUGCAACUCGCCUACAUGAAGUCGGAAUCGCUAGUAAUCGCGGAUCAGCAUGCCGCGGUGAAUACGUUCCCGGGCCUUGUACACACCGCCCGUCACACCAUGGGGGCCGGUAAUACCCGAAGUCAGUAGUCCAACCUCGUGAGGACGCUGCCGAAGGUAGGAUUGGCGACUGGGGUGAAGUCGUAACAAGGUAUC